Molecule: long non-coding RNA, 472 nt
Filed under: Lepisosteus oculatus (spotted gar)
Lineage: Eukaryota; Metazoa; Chordata; Actinopteri; Semionotiformes; Lepisosteidae
Description: lncRNA (ENSLOCG00000023222.1)
Source: RNAcentral
CAAUGGGAAGAGAGUGUUGGGCAGGAAGACACCCUGGGGAGUCGUGGAGGGUGAGAGACAUAUAAGGGGGUAAAGUUAGUGGAAUGGUGGGGUGAGACAAGAGGGACAGCAGUGUCUCUAGCAGUGUCUCCAGUCCAGUCAGGAGAGUGUCAGUGUGAGAGGAGAGGGACAGCAGUGUCUCCAGUCCAGUCAGGAGUGUGUCAGUGUGAGAGGAGAGGGACAGCAGUGUCUCCAGUCCAGUCAGGAGUGUAUCUGUAACUUACUCUUGUUUGUUCAAUAUCUUCUUUUUCUCCAGUUGAAAAUCCGAGUCACUGUGAGUUUGCCCGGCUGCGAGAUUUUCUCAUCAGGUAAGCAACUACUGUUUCUGUUCUUCCUGUACUGUAGUGUCCCAUCAGUGUCUUUAUUAACCCCUCUCUCACAGUGCAGUGUGUCUGUAUUAACCCCUCUCUCUCUCUCAGUGGAGUGUCAGUGU